GCCCCGGCGGCGGACGACUGCGGGCUGCGCGCUGUGGGCAACCGGGGCUGCCGUCCCCGCGGUCCCUGCGGUCCCCGCGGUCCGCGCCGGGCUUCCGACUGCGCCCGUGCUCACUGCGCAGGCGCGCACCCGUGGGGCGGGGCCGGCCCGGGGAAGGGGCCGGACGGGGUGGGGCCUGCUGAGUGGGCGGGACCUAAGCGGGGCUGACCCGGGGAAGGGGCCGGAUGGGGGUGGGGGAGCCUGCGGGGUGGGCGGGUCCUUGGAAGGGGCCGGCCCUGGGAAGGGGCCGGUUGGGGUGGGGCCUGACGGGCGGGGGUGGGCCCUGUGGGUGGGCGGGGGGUAGGCGGGGCCGACCUGCGGAGCCGGGGAGCCGGUUCACGACCUGGGUCCGGCCGGCGGGUGGAUGGGUCGGGUGGUCCGACGAAGCAAGCACAAGACCUCCACACCACCGACGCAAGGUGUCUGCACCUGAGGGGCUCAGGCGCGUGCCUGUGCAGACGGACUCCUCCCACCGGCCCUGGGAUCUUGCCCGUUGUUCCGUGCGACCCGGCAAGCGUGCGGCACAGCCCCAAGGUCUUCGGAGACGCGGACGCCGGCCCCCGUCCUUAUCACCACAGGUCUCCCAGCCAGCGCUGGCCAGGGCCUUCAACCCAAGGGGACUCUGCUGCCCUGCCUGUUCGCGUGUUCUCCUUGCAGGAGGAGCACCUCCUCAUCUUCCUUGCGGAGCCCAAGGGUUUGCCUCCUUCCAUCCGGGCGACCCAACAGGUGACCCUACCCCAGGCCUCCUGGAGACCAGCCCCCCACCGCACUCCCAGUUAGGGCAGUGAAUCCCAGCCCUCACCCUGCCCCCAGCGUUGUCUCUGGGAUGUGUCGGGGUGGUGUCCACAGAGGCCACCCGCGCUCCAGAGUUCCUGCCCCUGUGGGCCUGACGGGGGAUUGUCACCCAAGUUGCCAAGAUGGGCGUCUUGGGCCAAGGGGCUUCCCUGGGACCCGCCUGGCUGCCCUCCAUCAAGCCAGACCCCUGCCUGGCAGGGUGAGCAAGGGUUGCAGGAGGAAAACGGGCACGGAAGCAGCCAGGGGAGCAAUGUCCCGGGAGAGGGCGCAGUAGGGAGGAAAUGCCCGGAAGAGUGCUGGGCCAGCUGGGAGGGGCUACCGGGGCAGGAGACUGGGGAGGGG
This 1176-nucleotide long non-coding RNA is filed under the name Bos grunniens (domestic yak). RNAcentral's name for it is "lncRNA (ENSBGRG00000019731.1)". The record is from RNAcentral. Lineage: Eukaryota; Metazoa; Chordata; Mammalia; Artiodactyla; Bovidae.